AAAUUUAAUAGUCUGCUUUUAUUGAGACAGCCCCUGAGUAAUGCAAUCCAAAGAGGCUCAGUGGUAGAGCUGGUCUGGAAUUUUCUGGUGAAACUUUUUUGAUCUGAAAAUAAUAGCUCCAUCUAAGCAGAAGAGUUUUGUGGAAACUAGUCAGCUGAGAAGAAUUUCCAGUCAAAUAAAAUCCAGGGCGCAUCAGAAAAUUGCCUGGCUUCAUGCCAAAUUGUCUCAUGGUUUGCCUGAAGGACAAACUUUGUCCCAUCACACAGCUGCUCAUGGUGCACAAGAAGUCCCCCAAACCUGCAGCUCCUGAUCCAUCAUCACUCUGCUUGGAAUCAAUGAGGAGACACAGGGCAGUGGUGAGAGAUGGGUAUCUCCCGUUCUAAUACAAAUGAGUGCAACAGGUCAGCCCCUGGAACUGGCUGUAUCUCUCUACGGGCUUCAGAGGAGACCUACAUGACUGACUUAGAAUGGAUGAUAACUUUCUUACAGGUGAGCAGCAUAAUUGCAUGGAGGUUGAAGUUCCCAGUUCACUUCUUCUAAUGAAUGAGACACUGAUAUUUACAGGUGGAGUUCUGGAAAAGGAGACACAUUCUGGCAGAAGCACAAGCAUUUCUUAGAGGGAGUCCACCCACUGGGAAGUUUGUGGAAGCAGCUGUAGGCAGAAGAAUGAUACCAGUGGGAUCUGAAAGUGAUCCUCACAAUCAGUGAAACAACAGGAGCACUGGACUCAUUUCCAACCUUACUGCACCCAAAAGAAAAAAAGUAAUGCUGCAAUAUUUAUAGCUGGGAAGUGUGUUGUGCAAUCCUCAGUACUCCUCAUUGAUCUAUUUUGGAACACAUUUUAGGUAUUAGGAACAUUGGUAAAAUGAUUAGAAAAAGCUCUUUUUUUUUUCCAAGAUCAUUUACUUACAAUUGUAGAUAACCACAUCAUCUCACUUUAAAAAUACAGUUAACAAAAACAACUUAAGACUGCAGUUAUAGACCCCAGUAAGUUCCCAGAAGUCCAGCUGAGACUCUCACUCGUUUCAUUGUUAGUACUUUUUGUAUUCUCCAACAUGAAUGCAUUCACAUCCAUUUUAUAUCCACUUGUCCUUGUGCCCGCAUUGCCCUUCAGAAGAAAGGACCUUUUCGUCCUGGAGACAUACUUAGAGAAAUAAAUGGUAUCUUCUCAGAGACUUUCUUUUGCUACAUGAAACUAGCAAAAUCCUUUUAACUUCUGUUAUGUGAUGGGUUUUCCAUUCUCUGGUUAUUGUCCUAGUCCUUGCUUUCAAUUACGCCAGUCUGAAUUCACCUGUCAGUGGUGGAGGUAAAUCGAGACCGCUCCAGAAGUGCCUUGUGUAAUCAUGUCAAUAGCUCUUUCUUUAACCACAAAACAUACCCUAAAUCCUUGGUAAAUCUUAAAAAAAUUGGCUUAUGGGGAGCACAUGGACAUGAAGUAUUCUGACCAGUUAAAAUCCAGACCCACGGGUCACUACAGAUUUGAACCUUCUUCACUAGAGUUGUGUAAGUAACAUGCUCAUUUUUCAGCCAAAGGACAUGACUGACCUUCUCAGCAUGCAGCUAAGCAUAGCUCUUUCUUAAUGAUAUUAAAGAGAGGGAAAUGUGAUAAGGAUGGGACUUGUGGGAGUGGUUGUUCCAGGCUGAGAAAUUGUACAUUAACUUUAAUAAUAACGUGAUAAAUCGGUAAUGGAAGCAGAAAUUAUUAUUUGUAUUUUUGGA
Molecule: long non-coding RNA, 1719 nt
Organism: Cygnus atratus (black swan)
Lineage: Eukaryota; Metazoa; Chordata; Aves; Anseriformes; Anatidae
Exons: 5
Source: RefSeq, a predicted model, not a curated record